CCUACGGGAGGCUGCAGUCGAGAAUUAUUCACAAUGGGGGAAACCCUGAUGGUGCGACGCCGCGUGGGGGAAUGAAGGUCUUCGGAUUGUAAACCCCUGUCAUGUGGGAGCAAAUUAAAAAGAUAGUACCACAAGAGGAAGAGACGGCUAACUCUGUGCCAGCAGCCGCGGUAAUACAGAGGUCUCAAGCGUUGUUCGGAAUCACUGGGCGUAAAGCGUGCGUAGGCUGUUUCGUAAGUCGUGUGUGAAAGGCGCGGGCUCAACCCGCGGACGGCACAUGAUACUGCGAGACUAGAGUAAGGGAGGGGGAACCGGAAUUCUCGGUGUAGCAGUGAAAUGCGUAGAUAUCGAGAGGAACACUCGUGGCGAAGGCGGGUUCCUGGACAUUAACUGACGCUGAGGCACGAAGGCCAGGGGAGCGAAAGGGAUUAGAUACCCUAGUAGUC
This 446-nucleotide ribosomal RNA is filed under the name uncultured bacterium. RNAcentral describes it as "partial 16S ribosomal RNA". It matches the Rfam family "Bacterial small subunit ribosomal RNA", at positions 338 to 795 of the family's 1533-position model. The record is from RNAcentral.